Molecule: ribosomal RNA, 510 nt
Filed under: uncultured bacterium
Lineage: Bacteria
Description: bacterial SSU rRNA
Rfam family: Bacterial small subunit ribosomal RNA
Source: RNAcentral
ACUCCUACGGGAGGCAGCAGUGGGGAAUCUUGCCCAAUGGGCGCAAGCCUGAGGCAGCAACGCCGCGUGCGGGAAGAAGGCCCUCGGGUUGUUAACCGCUUUCAGCAGGAACGAAAAUGACGGUACCUGCAGAAGAAGGUGCGGCCAACUACGUGCCAGCAGCCGCGGUGACACGUAGGCACCAAGCGUUGUCCGGAUUUAUUGGGCGUAAAGAGCUCGUAGGCGGUUCGGUAAGUCGGGUGUGAAAACUUUGGGCUCAACCCAAAGCCUGCACUCGAUACUGCUGUGACUCGAGUCCGGUAGAGGAGUGGGGAAUUCCUGGUGUAGCGGUGGAAUGCGCAGAUAUCAGGAGGAACACCGGUGGCGAAGGCGCCACUCUGGGCCGGUACUGACGCUGAGGAGCGAAAGCGUGGGGAGCGAACAGGAUUAGAUACCCUGGUAGUCCACGCCGUAAACGUUGGGCACUAGGUGUGGGCUCUUACCAACGGAGUCCGUGCCGUAGCUAACGCA